Limanda limanda (common dab) is the source of this 430-nucleotide long non-coding RNA. RefSeq lists it as uncharacterized. The record is from RefSeq and is a predicted model, not a curated record. NCBI's taxonomy places the organism in Eukaryota, Metazoa, Chordata, Actinopteri, Pleuronectiformes, Pleuronectidae. The transcript has 3 exons.
CACACACAAACAAAGAGGCGUUAGGCUGAGACGCUGAAAGUCCGGAUUUAAAGUGCAGAAAAUUAAGCCAUUGAAUCUGCCUGUCCAUGACGUACAAAGACACACUAUGAGCCAGUAUGAUCCGACCAGACCUUACAUCAGCAUUGACGAGUUGUCGGAGAAGAAAGAGGCUGAUUGAAGCGGGACAGAUGACAUGGAUCCAUCCUUCCACAGCCAGGAGCGCACCGACCUGUGUCCCACACUUCAUAUAAGACUGGAAGCUACACUGAUCUCACAGCUACACACCACAGACGUCUACACACUGGAGAAGAUUCAGACAGAGUCCCACAAAGAAGUCAUGACCCAGAGGCUGCAGAGAAACAUUUCAAGCCUCAUCUGAGUUUUUGUACAAUAUUUUUGCUGUAUGUAAAUAAAGCUUUCACUCCACAUA